GAUAAACGCUGGCGGCGUGCUUAACACAUGCAAGUCGAACGAAGUUUUUCCUUCGGGAGAAACUUAGUGGCGGACGGGUGAGUAACGCGUGGGUAACCUGCCCUGUACAGGGGGACAACAGCUGGAAACGGCUGCUAAUACCGCAUAAGCCCUUAGCACUGCAUGGUGCAUAGGGAAAAGGAGCAAUCCGGUACAGGAUGGACCCGCGUCUGAUUAGCCAGUUGGCAGGGUAACGGCCUACCAAAGCGACGAUCAGUAGCCGAUCUGAGAGGAUGUACGGCCACAUUGGGACUGAGACACGGCCCUGACUCCUACGGGAAGCAGCAGUGGGGAAUAUUGCACAAUGGAGGAAACUCUGAUGCAGCGACGCCGCGUGAGUGAAGAAGUAUUUCGGUAUGUAAAGCUCUAUCAGCAGGGAAGAAAAUGACGGUACCUGACUAAGAAGCACCGGCUAAAUACGUG
RNAcentral lists this ribosomal RNA (462 nucleotides) under uncultured bacterium. Its description in RNAcentral is "partial 16S ribosomal RNA". It matches the Rfam family "Bacterial small subunit ribosomal RNA", at positions 28 to 507 of the family's 1533-position model. The record is from RNAcentral.